Molecule: long non-coding RNA, 2425 nt
Filed under: Lactuca sativa (garden lettuce)
Lineage: Eukaryota; Viridiplantae; Streptophyta; Magnoliopsida; Asterales; Asteraceae
Description: long non-coding RNA (LSAT_LNC006522)
Source: RNAcentral
CAAGAAGACAUACUCAUGCCUAAACGAGUAUUGACCACUCGUCUUAUACAGGACCAGCAAGAUGAGCUCGAACAAUGGUUAAUUCACUGGGACGGUCAGGAAGAAGAAGACGCUACAUGGGAGGACGCAUCAAUGAUUCAAGGGCAGUUUCCUGAGUUGAGUCUUGAGGACAAGACUCAUUUUGAAGGAGGGAGUAAUGAUGCAGAUGGAAAUAGGGGGACCACAAAGAAUGCUACAUCAAAACCGUUACUGGUAUAUUCUAGAAAAAGGGGACAAGGGCAAAAAGGGAAAACGAAUGUUUAGUUGGUUACGCUGAGAAUAGAAUAAAUAGGAGGAGAAUAAUUAGAGUGAGGUCAUGCUUUUGAUUUGUAUUGAAUUGUAUUGGCUCCUGAAGAUUUGUUUCAGUGAGAGAGGGAAUCAUUCUGUAACAGCCCGGAAUCCCAGGUAUUAUUAAAAUUAUGUUUUUGGGGUGAUUUAAGAGGGGACUCGGCGAGUUGGAGCCUAGACUCGCCGAGUAGGAUCGCGGACUUGGUCGCGGGUCCGCGACUGGACUCGACGAGUCCAGAUAUGGACUCGGCGAGUCGACGCUGUUCAGCAGAAACCCUAACCGUUCAGUUUGGAUCGUAUUUAACGCCACUUAGGCCGUCAUUUUCAGUCUUUUGAUCAAUUGAGAGGAACCCUAAUCGCUGUGGACGCCUAGAGCAAGGGAGAAAGCUUUGGAACUUGGAAGAAUUGGUUAGGCAAGAAGAAGAGGGAUUUGGCUAAAGGAAUAUCAAGGAGGAUUGAGUCCUGAGAUUUGGGGGACACAGAGAGUGCGUUUCCAGGUAAUACUCGGAUCAAAUCUGUUAUUUUGAUGUAUUUAUGAAAUUAGGGUUUAUAGAACCCAUUUAGUGAUUUGAUGAAGUAAUGCCUUGUUAUCCCACGAUUAUAGUCUUGUAUUAGGACCUUUAGAGGUCCAGAAGGUCCCAUGCAUGUGUACUUUGGGACGAGACCUAUCUCAGGAAGCAGUUACUCGUCUGCAUGGCAUGGACUCGCCGAGUUGUUCUUCAGACUCGGCGAGUAGCUUGAAGAUUUGCUGGGACUCGCCGAGUUGUUCAUCAGACUCGGCGAGUGGAGUCGGGGUGGCCCCGCGAUUCUUCCACGAGGACCUCGUCGAGUCAAGAGGUAUACUCGACGAGUAGAAAGGGAAUAUUCAGGAAUCUGUGAGGACGACUAGACUCGCCGAGUCGCCAUGGUACUCGCCGAGUCCAGUCGAGUUGACCGUUGACCGUUGACCAGAGUUGACCUAAGUCUGACUUCUUAGGGAUAGUCACACUUAGAUGAUAUGAGUGUUAAUGAGUUAUAUAAUGUUAUAGGAGGGUUGUAGCUCGUUGGUUUGUGCGCGAGUGAUUUCAGGAGUUGCUAGCUUUCAGCACUUACGAGGUGAGUCUUCUCACUAUACUGUACCCGGAAGGGUUUGACUGUGUGACCGGAAGGUCGGAUAUGAUAUGUGAUAUGUAUGCUAUAUGUGGUAUGUUAUAUGUUAUAUGUGCUAUGUAUUAUGGGCCGGAAGGCGAUAUGAUGUGUGAUGGACCGGAAGGUCGGCGUGGGUAAGGCCGGAAGGGUUACCCAGCAGGGACGGAAGUCCCCUGAGACACAUGGACCGGAGGAUGUGUGAUGGACCGGAAGGUCGGCGUGGGUAAGGCCGGAAGGUUUACCCAGCAGGGACGGAAGUCCCCUGAGACACAUGGACCGGAAGGUCGGGCCUGGAAAGGCGUAUGUGCGUAAGUUGUAUAUUGGGGAACUCACUAAGCAUUUAUGCUUACAGUUGUUAUGUAUGUAUGUGUUUCAGGUACUAGCGAGGACCGUGGGAAGGCGCCGGCAUGAUCGAUACACACUGAAGAAUGUUUCAUGAUCUUGGGAGUUUGAAUAAUUGUAUUGACCGAAUGAUUAAACUGUUUAUGUCUUGUUUUAAUGGAAAAUAAUUAUGUUUUUAAAAUGAAAAAAAAUUUGGUUGAAAAUUUGAGUUGUUACACAUUCCCUGGGCAAUCUUCGGAUUGAUUUACCAAUACACAAUUCAGUUUUCUUUCAUUUCUAUAUUCCAUUCAUUCUACUACUUGUUUACUGUUUCAUUCUAUAUUAAUUUGUAUCACCUUCAAAUGAUUUUAGCAAACCCUAACUCCUUGCUUGAGCAUUCUUGACCCUUGUGUGUGUUUUUGGUGCUCUUAAAGGAGAAAGAAGGAAGUAGAUACACCUUGGAAACUUGAAGGAGCUUUGGAUUUGGGAUUUUCACCUAUCUAGCAACCUCCAAGAGGUAUAAAGCUUUAAACUUGGCUUGUAAUUCCUUAGAUCUUGCUAAGUUCUUGAUUCAUGAGAAUUUUGGUCCCAAGUCUUGACAUUUUUUAGUAUGGCAUGUCCCAGCCCAUUUAAUAUGUCCUUUCAGACG